UGGGGAAUAUUGGACAAUGGGCGAAAGCCUGAUCCAGCCAUGCCGCGUGUGUGAAGAAGGUCUUCGGAUUGUAAAGCACUUUAAGUUGGGAGGAAGGGUUGUAACCUAAUACGUUGCAACUUUGACGUUACCGACAGAAUAAGCACCGGCUAACUUCGUGCCAGCAGCCGCGGUAAUACGAAGGGUGCAAGCGUUAAUCGGAAUUACUGGGCGUAAAGCGCGCGUAGGUGGUUUGAUAAGUUGGAUGUGAAAGCCCCGGGCUCAACCUGGGAAUUGCAUCCAAAACUGUCUGACUAGAGUACGGUAGAGGGUAGUGGAAUUUCCUGUGUAGCGGUGAAAUGCGUAGAUAUAGGAAGGAACACCAGUGGCGAAGGCGACUACCUGGACUGAUACUGACACUGAGGUGCGAAAGCGUGGGGAGCAAA
This 425-nucleotide ribosomal RNA is filed under the name uncultured bacterium. RNAcentral's name for it is "bacterial SSU rRNA". It matches the Rfam family "Bacterial small subunit ribosomal RNA", at positions 355 to 772 of the family's 1533-position model. The record is from RNAcentral.